RNAcentral lists this transfer RNA (69 nucleotides) under Cordylochernes scorpioides. Its description in RNAcentral is "tRNA-Gly". It matches the Rfam family "tRNA". From Rfam's summary of the family: Transfer RNA (tRNA) molecules are approximately 80 nucleotides in length. Their secondary structure includes four short double-helical elements and three loops (D, anti-codon, and T loops). Lineage: Eukaryota; Metazoa; Arthropoda; Arachnida; Pseudoscorpiones; Chernetidae. The record is from RNAcentral.
GCUUUUGGUUCAGUGGUAGAAUGCUCGUCUGCCACGCGGGCGCCCCGGGUUUGAUUCCCGGCCGAUGCA